AGCUCAACUGAAUAGAGCAUUUGACUACGGAUCAAAAGGUUGUGGGUUUGAAUCCCGCC
This 59-nucleotide transfer RNA is filed under the name Bacteroidaceae bacterium. Its description in RNAcentral is "tRNA-Arg". It matches the Rfam family "tRNA", at positions 9 to 64 of the family's 71-position model. From Rfam's summary of the family: Transfer RNA (tRNA) molecules are approximately 80 nucleotides in length. Their secondary structure includes four short double-helical elements and three loops (D, anti-codon, and T loops). Further hydrogen bonds mediate the characteristic L-shaped molecular structure. tRNAs have two regions of fundamental functional importance: the anti-codon, which is responsible for specific mRNA codon recognition, and the 3' end, to which the tRNAs corresponding amino acid is attached (by aminoacyl-tRNA synthetases). tRNAs cope with the degeneracy of the genetic code in two manners: having more than one tRNA (with a specific anti-codon) for a particular amino acid; and 'wobble' base-pairing, i.e. permitting non-standard base-pairing at the 3rd anti-codon position. Lineage: Bacteria; Pseudomonadati; Bacteroidota; Bacteroidia; Bacteroidales; Bacteroidaceae. The record is from RNAcentral.